This 343-nucleotide ribosomal RNA is filed under the name Flagellimonas olearia. RNAcentral's name for it is "Muricauda olearia partial 23S ribosomal RNA". It matches the Rfam family "Bacterial large subunit ribosomal RNA", at positions 1935 to 2277 of the family's 2925-position model. The record is from RNAcentral. Lineage: Bacteria; Pseudomonadati; Bacteroidota; Flavobacteriia; Flavobacteriales; Flavobacteriaceae.
CGUAACUAUAACGGUCCUAAGGUAGCGAAAUUCCUUGUCGGGUAAGUUCCGACCUGCACGAAUGGCGUAAUGAUGGGGGCGCUGUCUCCACCCGAGACUCAGUGAAAUCGAAAUCGCAGUGAAGAUGCUGUGUACCCGCGGCUAGACGGAAAGACCCCGUGAACCUUUACUAUAGCUUCACAGUGGACUUUGAACCUGUUUGUGUAGGAUAGCUGGGAGACUUUGAAGCAGUGACGCUAGUUACUGUGGAGUCGUCCUUGAAAUACCAGCCUGGCAUGUUUGAGGUUCUAACCUAGGUCCCUUAUCGGGAUCGGGGACAUUGUGUGGUGGGUAGUUUGACUGG